AGCACCACAACGGGUGGAGCUUGCGGUUUAAUUGGAUUCAACGCCGGAAAUCUUACCGGGACCGACAGCAAUAUGAAGGCCAGGCUGAAGACUUUGCCGGAUUAGCUGAGAGGUGGUGCACGGCCGUCGUCAGUUCGUACUGUGAAGCAUCCUGUUAAGUCAGGCAACGAGCGAGACCCACGCCCACAGUUGCCAGCGUACUCUCUGGAGUGACGGGUACACUGUGGGGACCGCCGCUGCUAAAGCGGAGGAAGGAAUGGGCAACGGUAGGUCAGUAUGCCCCGAAUAUCCCGGGCUACACGCGAGCUACAAUGGUUGGUACAAUGGGUAUCUACCCUGAAAGGGGACGGGAAUCUCCUAAAACCAAUCUUAGUUCGGAUUGAGGGCUGCAACUCGCCCUCAUGAAGCUGGAAUCCGUAGUAAUCGCGUUUCAACAGAACGCGGUGAAUACGUCCCUGCUCCUU
Molecule: ribosomal RNA, 464 nt
Filed under: uncultured Methanosaeta sp.
Lineage: Archaea; Methanobacteriati; Methanobacteriota; Methanomicrobia; Methanotrichales; Methanotrichaceae
Description: bacterial SSU rRNA
Rfam family: Archaeal small subunit ribosomal RNA
Source: RNAcentral